UUCUAUAAAAUUAUAGAACAUUUUAUGCUAAAACUAGUAACAAGAGCUUACCCCUCUCUACAAUGCAAGUAUAAGCCAGCAAGAACUCAUCACUGGCAAAUAGCAGGCCUAAAUUCAAGUAGCAAAACCCCCCCCCCGAAAACACUACCUCACCUUAACUGUUAACCUAACACUAGAGCAUUCCAAGAAAGAUUAAAAGGGGGAGAAGGAAUUCCGCAAAUAUUAGUUCCGCCUGUUUACCAAAAACAUCGCCUCUUGUGAAUCAAUAAGAGGUCUAGCCUGCCCAGUGACUCUGUUCAACGGCCGCGGUAUCCUAACCGUGCAAAGGUAGCGUAAUCACUUGUCCCCUAAAUAGAGACUAGUAUGAAAGGCAUCACGAGAACUAAACUGUCUCCUCCCCCUAAUCAGUGAACCUAAUAACCCCGUGAAGAAGCGGGGAUCUCAAUAUAAGACGAGAAGACCCUAUGGAGCUUAAAACACUACAUCACCUGCCACCCACUUAUCCACCCUGGCACACUGAUUAUAUGUUUUUGGUUGGGGUGACCGCGGAGAAAAACCUAUCCCCCGCGAUAAAGGAAUCCUCCACAAACAGUAAGUCACAACUUUAUGUAUCAGAAAACUGACAUUAUUGACCCAAUAUAUUUGAUCAACGAACCAAGUUACCCUAGGGAUAACAGCGCAAUCCACUUCGAGAGCUCCUAUCGAC
Molecule: ribosomal RNA, 706 nt
Filed under: Pristimantis sp. MZUTI 3903
Lineage: Eukaryota; Metazoa; Chordata; Amphibia; Anura; Strabomantidae
Description: partial large subunit ribosomal RNA
Rfam family: Bacterial large subunit ribosomal RNA
Source: RNAcentral